AAAGUCGUAACAAGGUUUCCGUAGGUAAACCUGCGGAAGGAUCAUUAAUGAUUUUAUAGCGAGUCGAGCGUUAAGCGAGACUUGCGAAAAUAUUUAAAACCCCACUCUUUUUAACUUUAAAAAAAUAAAUCAUGAUACAUGAAUUUAAAAAAAAAGAUCACUUUCAACAACGGAUCUCUUGGCUCUC
RNAcentral lists this unclassified non-coding RNA (187 nucleotides) under Glomeromycotina sp. RNAcentral describes it as "partial contains small subunit ribosomal RNA, internal transcribed spacer 1, and 5.8S ribosomal RNA". The stretch from base 1 to 47 matches the Rfam family "Eukaryotic small subunit ribosomal RNA", at positions 1785 to 1831 of the family's 1831-position model. Lineage: Eukaryota; Fungi; Glomeromycota. The record is from RNAcentral.